Dipodomys ordii (Ord's kangaroo rat) is the source of this 70-nucleotide non-coding RNA. NCBI's taxonomy places the organism in Eukaryota, Metazoa, Chordata, Mammalia, Rodentia, Heteromyidae. The record is from Rfam.
GGGAAGGUAGCUCAGUGGUAGAGUGCAUGCCUUGCAAUCAUGAAGCCCUGGGUUCGAUUCCUCAGCACCA